GGCCUGGUGGUGGAACUGGAAGUCACGUCGGUCUCAGAAGCCGAUGCCGUCAGGCGUGAGGGUUCGACUCCCUCCCGGGCCA
RNAcentral lists this transfer RNA (82 nucleotides) under Gemmataceae bacterium. It matches the Rfam family "tRNA". From Rfam's summary of the family: Transfer RNA (tRNA) molecules are approximately 80 nucleotides in length. Their secondary structure includes four short double-helical elements and three loops (D, anti-codon, and T loops). Further hydrogen bonds mediate the characteristic L-shaped molecular structure. tRNAs have two regions of fundamental functional importance: the anti-codon, which is responsible for specific mRNA codon recognition, and the 3' end, to which the tRNAs corresponding amino acid is attached (by aminoacyl-tRNA synthetases). tRNAs cope with the degeneracy of the genetic code in two manners: having more than one tRNA (with a specific anti-codon) for a particular amino acid; and 'wobble' base-pairing, i.e. permitting non-standard base-pairing at the 3rd anti-codon position. Lineage: Bacteria; Pseudomonadati; Planctomycetota; Planctomycetia; Gemmatales; Gemmataceae. The record is from Rfam by way of RNAcentral.